Molecule: ribosomal RNA, 1063 nt
Filed under: Auricularia cornea
Lineage: Eukaryota; Fungi; Basidiomycota; Agaricomycetes; Auriculariales; Auriculariaceae
Description: partial large subunit ribosomal RNA
Rfam family: Eukaryotic large subunit ribosomal RNA
Source: RNAcentral
GAAAUCUGGCGGUCUCAGGCCGUCCGAGUUGUAAUCUAGAGAGGUGUUUUCCGUGCCGGACCGUGUACAAGUCCCUUGGAACAGGGCGUCAUAGAGGGUGAGAAUCCCGUCCAUGACACGGACUACCGGUGCUCUGUGAUACACCUUCAAAGAGUCGAGUUGUUUGGGAAUGCAGCUCAAAAUGGGUGGUAAAUUCCAUCUAAAGCUAAAUACAGGCGAGAGACCGAUAGCGAACAAGUACCGUGAGGGAAAGAUGAAAAGAACUUUGGAAAGAGAGUUAAACAGUACGUGAAAUUGUUGAAAGGGAAACGCUUGAAGUCAGUCGCGUCUGCCAGGACUCAGCCUUGCUUCUGCUUGGUGCACUUCUUGGUGGAUGGGCCAGCAUCGAUUUUGAUUGCCGGAAAAGGGUGGGAGGAAUGUGGCAGCUUUUGCUGUGUUAUAGCCUUCUGUCGUACACGGUGGUUGGGAUCGAGGACUGCAGCACGCCUUUGGUCGGGGUUCGCCCACGCCACGUGCUUAGGAUGCUGGCGUAAUGGCUUUAAACGACCCGUCUUGAAACACGGACCAAGGAGUCUAACAUGCCUGCGAGUGUUUGGGUGCAAAACCCAGGCGCGUAAUGAAAGUGAAAAGUUGGGACUCUUUAGUGAGGCACCGACGCCCGACCCUGAAGUCUUCUGACGGGUUUGAGGCAGAGCAUGUAUGUUGGGACCCGAAAGAUGGUGAACUAUGCCUGAAUAGGGUGAAGCCAGAGGAAACUCUGGUGGAGGCUCGUAGCGAUUCUGACGUGCAAAUCGAUCGUCAAAUUUGGGUAUAGGGGCGAAAGACUAAUCGAACCAUCUAGUAGCUGGUUCCUGCCGAAGUUUCCCUCAGGAUAGCAGAAACUCGCAUCAGUUUUAUGUGGUAAAGCGAAUGAUUAGAGGCCUUGGGGUUGAAACAACCUUAACCUAUUCUCAAACUUUAAAUAUGUAAGAUCGGACCGUCACUUGAUUGGACCGUCUGGCGAAUGAGAGUUUCUAGUGGGCCAUUUUUGGUAAGCAGAACUGGCGAUGCGGGAUGAACCGAU